RNAcentral lists this ribosomal RNA (245 nucleotides) under uncultured Methylomicrobium sp. RNAcentral's name for it is "partial 16S ribosomal RNA". It matches the Rfam family "Bacterial small subunit ribosomal RNA", at positions 524 to 768 of the family's 1533-position model. The record is from RNAcentral. Lineage: Bacteria; Pseudomonadati; Pseudomonadota; Gammaproteobacteria; Methylococcales; Methylococcaceae.
UACGGAGGGUGCGAGCGUUAAUCGGAAUUACUGGGCGUAAAGCGUGCGUAGGCGGUUAUUUAAGUCAGAUGUGAAAGCCCCGGGCUUAACCUGGGAACUGCAUUUGAUACUGGGUAACUAGAGUUGAGUAGAGGAGAGUGGAAUUUCCGGUGUAGCGGUGAAAUGCGUAGAGAUCGGAAGGAACACCAGUGGCGAAGGCGGCUCUCUGGACUCAAACUGACGCUGAGGUACGAAAGCGUGGGUAG